GGAUUGUAGUCUGCAACCCGACUACAUGAAGCUGGAAUCGCUAGUAAUCGCGGAUCAGAAUGCCGCGGUGAAUACGUUCCCGGGUCUUGUACACACCGCCCGUCACACCAUGGGGGUCGGAAAUGCCCGAAGUCAGUGGCCCAACCGGAAGGAGGGAGCUGCCGAAGGCAGGUCCGGUGACUGGGGUGAAGUCGUAACAAGGUAGC
RNAcentral lists this ribosomal RNA (206 nucleotides) under uncultured bacterium. RNAcentral describes it as "partial 16S ribosomal RNA". It matches the Rfam family "Bacterial small subunit ribosomal RNA", at positions 1295 to 1500 of the family's 1533-position model. The record is from RNAcentral.